GACAAUCUGAGAAUGGAUUUUGUGGUCAAAGAAACUUAGGUACUAGAAAAACCAUGGCGAUUAAGCCUCUGUUAAUCUUCUAUUUAUUAUUCAGAGAUUACAUCACCUUUUCUCUUCACCUCCUUAAGAUCCAUGAGGCAGAGGUGGGAGGUUCUCUUUGAAGGCUACACGUUUAACUUGCUUGUUUAGUUUCCCCUUAACUUCAGCAAGAAGAAAAAUUGUGGGGACAUGUAUAUUACUUACAAAUAAAUUCAAUGUCAUUCCCUUUUCUUCUCCACACCGUCUCCACACUCUCACUGAACUUUUCAAAGAAAAGUUAAUCUAUUCCAUUUUGCAAACUUAUUUCUGGAAUUGUCCCUGGUACCCAGGAUUAUCUAAGGUAUAUGAUCGCCUCUCCAUCUCUCACAGUUUUCCUCUUAACUAAGUAAAAAGUGGGAAUAGCUUACAGGAAUUUCUGAAAUAAGAUUAUUAGGACUUAUAAGGAACUUUUAUAAAAGGCUUUGACCUACUUAAAAGAAAUGGGUCCGAACUUGUAGGCACCUAUUGUCAGUUUGAAUAACACUACCUUCCAGAGUGGUGCUUUGCAGGAGUUCCGGUAUGUUCAGAACUUCCAUCCAAAUUCUAUAAUAAGCGUCAGAUUCAUUAAGAAGAACUCGUUCAUUUUCGCUGUGACUACAUUAAGGCCAGGCUUAAGGUGCCUCCAACUUCUGAGUGGCUUACUUUGCCAUUGCUCUUUCGGACUAAUGAAUGAACAAUACUAAGAUGAUCUUAAAGUGGUUACUCACACAUGAGAUCAUCACACUGGUGCCCCGCCGUAUGUUAUUAAAUUGUCCCCGUUCACAGCAUAUUCCAGAAAACACUUUCAGCUAGAGUGCUAACACUUGCAGUUAGGGAGUAGGUCAGAGUGACAAGAGUCCAAGAAGACAGCUGAGUCAUCCUGGGUGGAAUAUAUAAAGUCCCUGUGCUGCACUAGGACAGAGGUAACGCUUCCUCUGAGCUCCCAACCUCUUCAACAAACAUCAAAAGGUAGGACUGAAAUGGAGAGUGGGAACACUCAUUUACAGCAGAUUAGCCCUGAGCUAGCAUCUGUGCUCAUCUGCUAUUUUAUGUGUGGGAUGCCUGCCACAGCAUGGUUUGGAUUGAUUCAGGAAGUAAAACGAGGCAAUAGAAAAGCAAAGACUGACUCUCACAACUAGCCCUUCUUUCCAGUAACUGAGAUCCUUCCUUCAGAGAUAUUCCUUUUAAUUCCAAACUGUGAACAUUGCAGCAGCUGGAGAAAGCAAGAGUGCUUAAAAGACUUGUCAGAGAUUAAAUAAAGGAUAUAGGUGGGGGCUGGCCCCGUGGCCGAGUGGUUAAGUUUGCGUGCUCCGCUGCAGGCGGCCCAGUGUUUCGUUGGUUCGAGUCCUGGGCGCAGACGUGACACUGCUCAUCAAACCACGCUGGGGCGGCGUCCCACAUGCCACAACUGGAAGCACCCACAGCGGAGAAUAUACAACUAUGUACCGGGGGGGGGCUUUGGGGAGAAAAAGGAAAAAAUAAAAUCUUUAAAAAAAUAAAAUAAAAAAUAAAGGAUAUAGGUGGCAAUCUCAUACAGGAAAGAGAACAAGCUUAUUUUAAGUGAAUAUUUCCAAAAGUUCAGUUAUUGUUUUAGCACCUUUGCUAGUACAUACUAUUUCCAUCAACAAGUAUGCCAAAAUUAGCAAGAGCCAAGACUGACAAAUUUCUUUGGCUUUCUCUAGUACCUAUUUUCUAUACUUCCAUUAUCCCAACUCUGAAUUUGGUCUGAAAAUACAUUACAAUUAAUGUCUAACACAAUACAGCUUAUGAUGUGGUUAUAGAUUCCUCAGGGAACAGAAUUAAACCAUCAAACCCAUUUUCGAAGUCUAGGGUGAAAGGUUAAUGGAUUUACUAAAAUGCUAAACAAAGUCAAAGUGGUACCCCUUGGAGAGAGAGAUCAGGAAAAGCAUCAAAUGCUUAUCUGGACAAAUUUUUUCUCCAUUCUGAAAAUAUUCUAAAUAAUGUUAAAGGAACUGCAGAAAAACGAUUGAGGCUAAACAAUUAAAUAAGGAUGAGUCCUUUGUUACUGCCCCCCACUGAGGAUUUCCUAGCAAGUUUGAGUUUUUAUCUUGUUUCUUAGAAGACGUGGAACAGUAGGUCAAUAGCAAGUGUUACCUACAUUUAGCAGAUGGUAGAGAUGAGGCUGCAGAAAACAUGAUAUGCUUAGCUUCUCACCUCAGUGGUAGGAAGAGUGGAUAAUGUGCAGAACCUGGGAAUCCAACUGCAUUCCUCAUGACCUGGACUAUCCUUUCUCUCUCAGAAUUAAAAAUGUAAUAUUGAGGGGGAUACAUAAAAGUUAUAUUCCUUCAGAAAAUGUGGGCUCAAUUAUAGUUGGUGUAGUAGGUUACAUUAUUGUUUAGAAAUAUCAUCCUCCUCUCUACCUCCACAGGUGUAUUCUUCCCUGUGUUUCAGCUUUGGGCUUGCCCAUAUAACUUGCUUUGACCAAUGGGCUGUUGGUAGAUAUGCCAACAGCAAGAGCUUGAAAAGUGCUUGUGCAAUUGUCUUCUUGUGCCUCUGUCAUUGCCAUAAAAAGAGAUUCCUCCGUGUAUCUGUCUGCCCCAGAAUAAAGAUAAGUGGAGCCAACCGGAGCCAAGCCUGCAGCUCAAAGCAGAGCCAUCCAACUGAGUCUAAAUUGGCCAACUCCCACCACCACGCUGACCCAUGAAAAAUAAGCACUUAUUGUUGAAUGGCACUGAGAUCUUAUGGUUGCACAGUAAUAACUGACUAAACAUGAGUAUUAUGUGGUCAAUAGUCCAGGGUCUGAGGAUGGUUGAUUUCAUUUUUGCUUUGUUUCCUGAGCUGGCUUUCCUAUUUUUAACUCACGAGACUUGAUUCCCCCAGGCUAGCCUGAUUUGCUCCAGCUCCCAGCCAUUUCUCUAAUUUUGCACUCAGUUUAGUUGUCUUCACUACUGCUCCAAUAUUUACAACUGAAAUUACCAUGCCCUUGGUGUCCCACAUUGAUUGGCUUUUUCUGCUACUGCCCAGAGCAAUCCAUAGAAUCCCCAGGAAUAUAAAUGGGCUUAAGGCAUUUACAGACUUGGUGUCUGUAUAUUUUUGCUCUUCUGCUAUAUUUAGAGAAAGGCAAUUUUGACAUCAUUAUUUGUUCAGGAUAGGUUUAUCACUAUGAAAAUCUUAUUUUCAUGUAAUAUUCAGAAAAUAACUAUUUUUUAAACUACAGAAUCUGAGAAGAAUCCCAUAUGAAUAAAGCUGACGGAAUUUAAAAUUGCUUCAUUACAGGUCCAACUUAUAUAGAUAUAUCUAUUGAUAAAAUGUACAUAGGGGAAGUAAUUCAACUUUCAAAUUGCAGGUUCUCAACCUCAGCACUAUCAUUGUUUGGGACCGGAUAAUUAGUUGUUGUGAGAGGCUGUCCCAAGCUUUCUAGGAUGUUUAGCAGCAUUCCUGGCCUCUACCUACUAAAUGUCAACGGCACCUCUCCCUGAGUUGUGUCAACCAAAAAUAUCUCUAGACAUUUCCAAAUGCCCCUGGGCAAAAUUGCCGCGGUUUAGAGUCACCGAGAUAGAGGAUAUUUAUUUUCAUUUAUCCACUGAAGGUAACUAACUCAACCUUCUCCAUUUUCCCUUUUCUCCCCAAUGACUUUCCUAAUCUAUCUGAUCUCUGUGCUUUCUCCAAAAGAAAGGGUAGUCAUUCUUUCCCCAUGUCUGUCAAAGUUUAAAGAAAUGUUCCACUGCACUGAAGUCCAGUUACAAUGCAAUGAUAAAUGCCAAAGCAACCUUUGUUGGACAUGAACUCAUAAACAGACAGGGCCCGGUGAACAUGGCAUCAGUUAUGCCAAUUUUUUGGUGCCAUAAUAUAUACUGAAGCCAGAUCAACAGAAUACAGUAACAAUGGAUCAUGUGUCUGAACCUGCACAUAGUCUUAUUAUGGAGAUCUGGGCAUCAUAGUGGUAUUCAUUAAAGUGGUAUUUUACCUUUAUCUCAUUUUUCUCAAUUGUAUAAAGUCAAAAGUAAGGAAUUUCUCUAUUGAUCUGAAGUUUUGCUCUCCAAAAAGCUACAACCAGUCUGAUUCUUAUAAUUAGACAGUAUAAGAUUUCUUGCCUGCAAACACUAUAAUCAUAUUUUGUUUUCAACAAAGAACCAUCUGCUUUUCAAAGGCUGCGCUCCCGGGCAUGCGAUAUUUCAUUUAGACAUCAUGGUGUUGCUGUAUUUUUCUUGCCGUGUUCAUUCACCACAGUCAUCACAAGUGUAAAGUCCUCAAGCCUUGUAUCACAAUAGGGUUAUUUCCUUCUCCAAUGUUAGUGUUAAGGCAGCAUGUCAAUAUUUUAUGCACAGAGUGACAUAGAAAAUAUAGUAGUAAUUAAAACAGUUAAUCAUAGAGCCAACUGCAUUGGCAGCUGGUGAACACCUCUUCACCAACAAUAUUCAAGCAGAGGCUCAAAAGUCAAGGAUGUUUACUUGGAGCGGGCAUUGGCCAAUCUAAUUUCCACUGUUCCCACCAAAUCUAGUUCUCUAUUAUUCUUAUUUUUAAUCAGUCUAAUCUCAUCCAAUUAACCUCUGAACUACUCUUGGAAAGUAAGGGCUGCAAGAGGUAAUGCCUAACAUUUAUUACAUAUAUUAUCUCAUUUAAUCCCCUUCAAGUACUUAUAAAAUGGGUAUCAUCAUUUCCAUUGUACAGAUGGAGAAACUGAAGAUUAGAAAGACAAAGUACCUCUUCCAACUCAGUGUCAAAGCAGAGAUUUAAGCGUCCAGGUUCAAUCUGACUACACCAGCACUACCCUAAAGUAGUGGUCAUGACCUAGGGGUCCGAGUCACGAUCAUAUGAUGAGUUUGUACCAAAUCAGCAUAAUACACAAGCCAGAGAUUUUUGCCACACACAACAAACUCUUUCUCAAUCCUUCUUAAAAUUCAUGGCUUGUAUCACUUAUGACAAAGUUCUGUAUUAAACAAAAAACUAAUAGGCAAGGAAGAGAACUAUAAUAAUGUCUUGCUACAAAUGAAACUCUGUUCUCUAGUUCUUAAAUGAUUGUGUUGGCUCAAAAAUAUAAUUAAAUUUUUUACACAAAACAUUCAGCUAAAAGGGAAGAAUAAGGCCUUAUCGUUUUAACUUUGUUAUUUCUUUUAAAACUGCAUAUACCAGUUAGUGGAAUGGUUUGUGUGUGUGCGUAUGUAGUUCAUAGGAAGUAAGUUUUGAGUCCUAGAUUUCAUUUCCAUGCCAUUCUUUUCCACACCUUCAGAAAGAUUUGUAGAGAAAUACAGUUCAAAACAGAUCAAGAACCUUGCUUAAGGUACAACUAUUUUCCUGAUGGAAGUCAGAAAACUACAAAAUAAGAUGGUUCCUUGCAGUAUAUAUAUUAUUUCAGAACAAGAUGAGGAAACAUAAUGCUAAAAGCAUGCACUAGAAAUGCUAUUUCUGUAUAAAAUUAAUGAAAUGUCAGGAUCAAGAGGAAUCCAAUAAAUCCCUAUUAUUCCCUUCUGUUUUAUAGUUUAUUACAUGAAAUGCAUGCAGCUACGGAUCUGAGACCUUUCCUCCUAUUAAACCUACAAUCGACUAAAUUGACACAAUUCCACUCUCUCAUAAAAAGAAAAAGCCAUGCUAUCCAAAUUACAUGAUUUACUUUCAUCUGUUAUUUGACCUUUACGUACUUGUUUAUGGUUCCGAGCUUGUGAAAGCUGGCUUGACUUAUGAAAGUAUUUUCCUUACGGCAAACAAAACAAAGCAAGAGAAUCCCCCAGGGCACUUUGUUCUAUUUAUAUCUCAUCUUGUUCCAAAGGAUAUUUGAGAGAACUUACAAAACCGUGUAUAGUAAUAUGACAAUAUUAAAAGAGAGAAAAGGUCAGAGCCAAAGAAAAUCAGAAUAACAAGAGAGAAAACUUUAUAAUGUGACUUACUUAAAAUGUGAAGGGGAUUGACCCCUUAGUCCCCAUUACUUAAGUUUAGAAACAAAAGAAUCCACUCCAAGUAGGCUCUACUGGUUUUGCUUCACUAGCCCAUUUCUCUCUGCGUGUAGCCCACUCUGACUUAUUUCAUCUGAAGUCUUUCCGGAAGAACACCAGGAUAGUAGCAGUAACGUAGUGAUGGGUAUUGUUUAUUGAGCAAUUCCUCUGUGCUACACCCAAAACGCCACUCACUACAUUUGGUCACACUCUAAGCUGAAUUCAAUUCAACUGGUAGACAUUUGUGUUCUGUUAUUUCAUUUCUUCCCACACAUUUAUUUCUUGUGUGCCUUGUGAGUGUCAGCCCUUCAAGGGCAACGACAAGAUAUUUUGCUCUUUUAUGUUGCUCGCAAUGCCAAUUCUACCAUCCAAUCUACUCAAAAAAGAAAAAAAAAAAGCAAUCUGUGGGUAGAGCAGACUUUGCCCGGCUUUGUCAUUUUC
This 6389-nucleotide long non-coding RNA is filed under the name Equus caballus (horse). Its description in RNAcentral is "lncRNA (ENSECAG00000046260.1)". The record is from RNAcentral. Lineage: Eukaryota; Metazoa; Chordata; Mammalia; Perissodactyla; Equidae.